RNAcentral lists this ribosomal RNA (523 nucleotides) under uncultured bacterium. RNAcentral describes it as "bacterial SSU rRNA". It matches the Rfam family "Bacterial small subunit ribosomal RNA", at positions 355 to 866 of the family's 1533-position model. The record is from RNAcentral.
UGGGGAAUUUUGGGCAAUGGCCGAAAGGCUGACCCAGCGACGCCGCGUGUGGGAUGACGCCUCUCGGGGUGUAAACCACUGUCAGAGGGGAAGAAUAGCCCGGGUGUGAAUAAUUCCCGGGUGUGACGGUACCCUCAAAGGAAGCACCGGCUAACUCCGUGCCAGCAGCCGCGGUAAUACGGAGGGUGCAAGCGUUGUUCGGAUUUACUGGGCGUAAAGCGCGCGCAGGUGGGGGUGUGCAAGUCGGAAGUGAAAUCCCAGGGCUCAACCCUGGGGCUGCUCCCGAAACUGCAUAUCUAGGGACUGGUAGAGGCUGGUAGAAUUCCCGGUGUAGCGGUGGAAUGCGUAGAGAUCGGGAAGAAUACCUGUGGCGAAGGCGGCCAGCUGGGCCAGAUCCGACACUGAGGCGCGAAAGCGUGGGGAGCAAACAGGAUUAGAUACCCUGGUAGUCCACGCCGUAAACGAUGGGCACUAGGCGCGGGUGGGAGCGACCCCUUCCGUGCCGCAGCUAACGCGAUAAGUG